AGUACCAAGCAGAAUAUACAGGAAAAGAUACCAAAUUCUUUUUUUUAUUUUCUGAGCAUGUCCUGGCUGGACCAAAUUAUAGGUAACUAUGAAAUACGGGUUGAAGUCCAAGAAAAUAAAUAAAGGUUUGAGAGGUAAAAAAUCUUAAAUCUACUGUUAUCUUAAUAGUAGAUUGGGUUGUUGCACUAUGUGAGUAAAUCACAAAGUUGUUUUUUGUGGUUGUCACCUUGAUUCCUUGUAGACUUGGGCAGUGUUCUUCCGUCUCCAGAGCUCCUCCAGGUCUCAUGUCAUCCAGCCGUCAAAAACCCCAUCAAGUGAAUGAGAACACCCUCUCAAGAACUGCAAGAUUGAAGAAUUUCAAGUGACAGGCAUAAUGCUAGAAAAGGAGUGGGAGUAGGAAACAGUCACAAUAAACUUUUUAAUAAAGGUUU
Molecule: long non-coding RNA, 431 nt
Filed under: Bos taurus (domestic cattle)
Lineage: Eukaryota; Metazoa; Chordata; Mammalia; Artiodactyla; Bovidae
Description: long non-coding RNA NONBTAT009028
Source: RNAcentral